This 501-nucleotide ribosomal RNA is filed under the name uncultured Acidobacteriaceae bacterium. RNAcentral describes it as "bacterial SSU rRNA". It matches the Rfam family "Bacterial small subunit ribosomal RNA", at positions 8 to 473 of the family's 1533-position model. Lineage: Bacteria; Pseudomonadati; Acidobacteriota; Terriglobia; Terriglobales; Acidobacteriaceae. The record is from RNAcentral.
AGAGUUUGAUCAUGGCUCAGAAUCAACGCUGGCGGCGUGCCUAACACAUGCAAGUCGAGCGGGAAAGGGGGCUUCGGCCCCUGAGUAUAGCGGCGGACGGGUGAGUAACACGUGGGUAAUUUGCCCUUGGGUGUGGAAUAACUCAGGGAAACUUGAGCUAAUACCGCAUGACAUCCUCUUCUCACACGAGUUGAGGAUCAAAGCCGGGGGACCUUCGGGGCCUGGCGCCUGAGGAGAAGCCCGCGCCCGAUUAGCUAGUUGGUGAGGUAAUGGCUCACCAAGGCUUCGAUCGGUAGCCGGGCCUGAGAGGGCGGACGGCCCACACUGGGGACUUGAGACACGGCCCCAGACUCCUUACGGGGAGGCAGCAGUGGGGGAAUUUUUUGUCAAUGGGGGAAACCCCUGAACAAAGCAACGCCGCCGUGGAAGGACGAAAGACCUUCGGGGUGGUAAACUCCCUGUCGGGAAGGGGACGAAAAGCGGAUCGGAGGGCUAAUUUAU